Molecule: ribosomal RNA, 416 nt
Filed under: uncultured bacterium
Lineage: Bacteria
Description: partial 16S ribosomal RNA
Rfam family: Bacterial small subunit ribosomal RNA
Source: RNAcentral
UGGGGAAUAUUGCACAAUGGGCGCAAGCCUGAUGCAGCCAUGCCGCGUGUGUGAAGAAGGCCUUCGGGUUGUAAAGCACUUUCAGCGAGGAGGAAGGGUUCAGUGUUAAUAGCACUGUGCAUUGACGUUACUCGCAGAAGAAGCACCGGCUAACUCCGUGCCAGCAGCCGCGGUAAUACGGAGGGUGCAAGCGUUAAUCGGAAUUACUGGGCGUAAAGCGCACGCAGGCGGUUUGUUAAGUCAGAUGUGAAAUCCCCGCGCUUAACGUGGGAACUGCAUUUGAAACUGGCAAGCUAGAGUCUUGUAGAGGGGGGUAGAAUUCCAGGUGUAGCGGUGAAAUGCGUAGAGAUCUGGAGGAAUACCGGUGGCGAAGGCGGCCCCCUGGACAAAGACUGACGCUCAGGUGCGAAAGCGUG